Molecule: ribosomal RNA, 467 nt
Filed under: uncultured bacterium
Lineage: Bacteria
Description: partial 16S ribosomal RNA
Rfam family: Bacterial small subunit ribosomal RNA
Source: RNAcentral
CACGAACGCUGGCGGCGUGCUUAACACAUGCAAGUCGAACGGAAAGGCCUCUUUCGGGGGGUACUCGAGUGGCGAACGGGUGAGUAACACGUGAGUAACCUGCCCUUGACUUUGGGAUAACUUCAGGAAACUGGGGCUAAUACCGGAUAGGAGCUCCUGCUGCAUGGUGGGGGUUGGAAAGUUUCGGCGGUUGGGGAUGGACUCGCGGCUUAUCAGCUUGUUGGUGGGGUAGUGGCUUACCAAGGCUUUGACGGGUAGCCGGCCUGAGAGGGUGACCGGCCACAUUGGGACUGAGAUACGGCCCAGACUCCUACGGGAGGCAGCAGUGGGGAAUAUUGCACAAUGGGUGGAAGCCUGAUGCAGCAACGCCGUGUGCGGGAUGACGGCCUUCGGGUUGUAAACCGCUUUCGCUCAUGACGAAGCUUUGUGUGACGGUAGUGGGUAAAGAAGCACCGGCUAACUACGUG